Molecule: RNA transcript, 4356 nt
Organism: Dreissena polymorpha
Lineage: Eukaryota; Metazoa; Mollusca; Bivalvia; Myida; Dreissenidae
Exons: 4
Source: RefSeq, a predicted model, not a curated record
UUUCUGAUAACAGUUCAUUCAGUCGUGUUAACACUGUAAUGCAAUUACGCUGUCAAAUAAAUGCGUCUCAUCCUAUGAACUCAUGUAUCUGAUUAUGCUUUGACAAAUGUUACCGAUUUGUGAAACAAUAAAUGACUACUUUACACCGGUUAAAUGUGGACGUAUCUCUUGUGAAGUGGUUUAAAUUUAUAUUAUCAAUGUUAGUGUUUAACAAUAAAAUCAACGUGUGGACUAACUGGGUCUCGUUUGUAAUUUGCAACGUGCGCCUCUGGUAGAUUUAAACCUGCGUUUGUUAUUGGAAGUAAUCUUUACUCGAUUGUGAAAGUAUUCAAUCAAUAGGUAAAGUGCGAUGUGAAUAUUCUUGAACGUAUUGAACCACCCUUCUGUUCACAUACCAAGUGUUGAUUUUGCUGUGCCAAGUAAAAGGUAACGGCGAAAAAACAAAGGAUGUUCACUCAAAUUCCAAAAAGCUGGCGUCACAAUUUUAAUGAGAACGUCACGUUACGGGAGUUAAACGACGCUUUAGUGACGUUACAUGUUCCGGCAAUUGUUAUUAUUAUGACAUUAUUGGUUAUAGGGGUAAUCGGCAACAUAACCGUCUUACGUAUCUAUUUCCCGUAUCCCAAAUCAUUUUCCCGGGUGUUUAUUUUAUGGCUCGGUUUCAUAGACCUAAUAGCGUGUUGUUUAGGAAAGCCAUUUCUGCUCAUGAGCCUCUAUCACCCGUACGAAUUUCCAUCAGUUGGUGCGUGCAAGACGUUCCGAUUUGUUCACGUGUUUCUCGUCGCGGCCGCCGUAUUUAUAUUUGUCUGUAUUGCAGCUGAAAGACAUCGCGCCAUAUGUAAUUUCCAUGUGGUGGAAAUGAAAACGGCCCGGAUACACAAGAUGUGUCUGAUAUCGUGCAUGCUUGCAAUCGUUGUCGCCAUCCCAGCAAUAUUUGUGUACGGUGAGAGGACCGUGAAAACUGGAGUGUUUAAUAUCACAGGCAUAGAGUGUUUUGUGGAGGACCAUUUUGAAGAAACCAACUCAGUAUGGCCGAAAGUGUUUUAUCUGCUCCAGUUCGCGAUCUGUUUAAUAGCGUUUGUUAUCAUGGUGAUUUUGUACGUUAGAAUUGGGCUACAAUUGAAGUGGCAUCUAAGAUUUUCAAAAUCAUACACUCGUGCCACAUCAAACGUGCGUUCUUCUUAUUCGAACGAAUUGGAAUUAAACUCUACACAAGUACCCAGGGUAACGUCAAAAACAGAAAGUCUUCUAAAGACAUCAACUUCAGAGGACGGCGAACACUAUUGUGCAAACGCGCCUAAACAGUCACAGAAAGCGUGGGAAGGAGCAAGGGAGUGAAAUCCAUUCAGUUCCACAAAUUGUCUAUGAAGUCGAAAAAGACAACCUAGCCAUGUAUUCUGCGAUCCCAAAAGUCUGGCGGGAGGAUUUUCGGGAAAAUGUGACACUCGCAGAGCUGAACAACUCUCUGGUGGAUCUCAACAUCCCCUCCAUCAUAUACGUCGCUAUCCUCAUGGUUGUCGGCGUGUUGGGUAACAUCCUCGUCGUCUACAUCUAUACCAUCAAGUACUCACCUUCCACAUACCGCUCGUUUAUUUUAUGUCUGGGAUGGAUAGACCUCAUAGCUUGCACUGUUGGGAUGCCUCUUUUGAUAUACAGUUUGAUGUGUCCGUACGUGUUCCCAUCCGAGGCAGCGUGCAAGACGCUCAGAUGUUUACACAUGUUUUUCGUUAUGUCUUCAGCUUUUAUCGUCUUAGGAAUUGCAAAAGAACGCCACCAGAGAAUCCGUUACCCGUUGUCAACACAAAUAACUCCGACCAAGAUUAAAAUAAUGUGCAGUUUGUGUGUAGCUCUUUGAUGUCUUGUUGCUUUACCCGCCAUAUUUGUGUACGGUGAUGCAUUGGUUAGUUUAAACCUAUUUAUUUUAGCUCAAUUGCAUCGAAAGCCUAAGGCUUAUAUAAACGCUCUCGAGUCCGUUUCCUGGGCCUAGAACCAGUACUUGGUGUCUUUGGGGGAGAUCUAAAGAACGCUGUCACGGUGGGGAUCGAACCCGUGACCUCCCGGUUGCUAGGCGGACACCAUAUCCAUUACACCACGGCGACCUAUUGGUUGCAUUGGUUGACACAGGGGUUCACGGAGUUAAUGGAACCGAAUGUUUUAUUGACCCAACGAUGCAAGAUUCGAACUUUCCACAAGGUUAUUUUGUAGUCCAGUUAUUGCUGUGCGUAAUCUCCAUGGUGAUUAUGGGGAUAGUCUACUUUCGGAUUGGAUGGACGAUAAUGCAUCAUCAUGGGUUUAUUCGUGAAAAUACAUUCAGCGGCACGCAUGGCAACACGAAUAUCAAAACAGAGUCUCGUAAGUCUUACCAUCUGUCUUAAGUUAAAAUACAAAUUAGUGUUGGUUGUAAAAAAUAACAGCAUAAUUUUAAUUUCAUGAAAAUCAAUGUCAAAUCUACCAAACGGUUAACAAAACUGUCACUUUCAAUUUCUGAAGCGCGCUAGUUAUGUGUGUGUGUUUACAACUAGAUGGUCUGUGUGUGUUUAUAUAAAUUAUGAUCAAAGCCGCUUAUAUGCUGACUUAAAUGUAUCAGUCAUUAAGUUGGUUUCGCUCUUUAAAUCAGUGCUAUCAAGUAUAUGUAUCCAUAUUGUGAUAAUGUAUUCUCAUUAUAUCAUUUUAAAAUGCAUUUGGGAUCUUUGAGAAGGAACAAAUAGGGCAACAUGGAUCGUAUUAAUGUCAAACAUGUACAGAAGCCAAUUAGUAUUCAACCAGACAAUUUUCGCAGCCCUUUUAACCAUUGCUGAUAUCAUUUCGCAAUCUUUUUUUUAAUUAGACCUUUUAAAUGAAUUAUGAGCUCAUAAACCUAUGUAAGUAAUUGGCGUUUAUUAUUUAUAUGCGUUAUAUGUCAAAUGCCUCGAAUUUGUUUUGCCUUGAUGGAUAAUGGAUACAUGUAUAAAAAAAACAUUAAUGGCUAGCUUUAGAAUUUCAUUGAUGCCAAUGCAAUGUUUGUGCUAAGUCCGGAACGUCUAAAUACAAUAACUGACGCGACAGAUAACGAUACAAUACAAACGUCAGUGAUAGAUUCAUGUGACCAAUACGUACGUAAUACAGCGGUCUCAUCACAACUGUGCUUACAUGUUGUUGAAUGUUAAACAUGCUAUUGCUGAUAUAUUGUGUUACAAGAUUGUUAUUGCGCUGUACACAUAUUAUAACGGUCUGCAUUGAAUGUUAUGCAUCUCAUUAUAGUAUUCAUAUUACACACUUCAUGUUAGUAUAGUCUUGGUAAAAGCAGCGGACUAUUCCAUAUAAAUAAAUGUAAGAGAUGUGUUAAAUAAGGCAUUCAUUUAUUUAAAGCACGUGUUUCGGCCGUUUUGAGAAAUAUAUCUAUUAUUAGAAAUUUUAAUUCCAACUUUCCAAAAGUGAAAUAUAGUUAUUAACUCAGAUCAAUGGCUUAGUGUUGAUUGCAUUGUUUGUUAUCUUUUGUUAGAACAUAAUCAAUAGUUAAUUAAAGCUGUUACAUACACAUCUUUUGUAUACUGUAUUCAAAGCAAUAUGUUGAGCCAUGUGCACUGUUUUCGUAUGUGUGCUGUAGAAGAUAUGUAUAUGAUAUUCUUGUGUCAGAGAAAAAUGUGUUUGCUAUAUAUUUUAUUAAUAAAAAUUCAUUAACAUUGUAUUCAUUCAAUUUAAAAUGUAAAUUCAAAUAAAUUUCCUACCUAAAAGAUCUGUACCAUUAAUAAAUGUAAUAUAUAAUAUGCCUCAAUCACAAUUAAGUGGUUAAAUAUGGUUGUGGACUCGUGGUAAUGGUAUCCUGACGUAACCCUUGCCCAAAUCAGCAUGAACUUGAAUUAACCGUUUCAAAUGAAGCAUAAUUAUUCCUUUGGGGGUUUGUGGACUCGUGGUAAUGGUAUCCUGACGUUACCCUUGUCUCUGCUAUGUCUCUGUUUUGUCUUGUUGAUCUUUCUAAUCUAUGGUUGCUGCGCAUGAUGUUUUUUUAUGUAGUACUUAUAGUUCAAGUUUUAGAUUUUAUUGUUUCAUUAUUUGUCUUAUAGCUAUACACAUAGGGUAGUUUUAUAGUGUCUUGUUGAUCUUUCUAAAAUAUGGUUACUGUGCAUGUUUUUUCGUAGUAUUUAUAGCAUAGGUAUAAUAGAGUAGAUUUGAUCGAUUCUUUUGAAACAGUGUUGCAAAAUGUAUUCGUAUCUGCGAUACGUUAAAUGUUCUUAUGUAAAGCGCCUUUGAACGUGCACUCUUGCAUGAAAAGGGCGCUAUAUAAAUCCGGUAUAAUAAUAAUUAAAAAUUAAGAUGCAUCUAUAAUUAUCUUUUGUGUUAGUCGAAUGGUAUAUAAUUAAAUAGUUUUGAAAAAUA